UGAAGGUGGAUUGAUAAUUUUCUUUCUUUUUAAAAAAAUGUUCUUUUUUCUUUUUUUUUUAGCAGCAAAAGAAUAUUGGAUGCAAUGAGAAACCGGCAAAACCAGAAGACAACAAGUAACAGAAUUGCAAAAGUGCACAUCAUUGUAGUUGUUUCCAAUAAAUAAUUGGGUAUUUCAUCUUACAAUGACAUAGAAUAUCAAAUUUUCUUCUUUUUGCAUAUAACUGCUGAUUUAAAAAGAAAACAUGCUUUGCUUUCUUCUUUCACAUACACAGAGCGAUGUCCUUAGUAUAAUAUAGUUUCUCUUUUUCUAGAAUAUUGACGAACUUCCUUGCAUCUAUAUAAAACUAUGUGCAUAGAUGCAUGCAUGCAUCCAUGCAAAUUUAUUGUCUCCCACGUUAUAUCUAUAAGUUUAUCUCAUAUAUUGUUUGGCUUGAACAAUUCUUUGCCCUGCAAAGUCCUCCUUGCACUUGGAUGAUGGAUCACCUCAGCAUCUCCCCAAUUAGGAGAAAACAAUCCUCAAAGCUUCACUAAAUCUUGUUUAUUGCUCACUUUGCUUGUCAAGAUUGGAUUUUAUUUUUGGGGCUCCUUUUGCAUUAGGAGUUUAGUGGUAGGAAGAGUAAUUGAGAGGUACCAUUGCAGUGGUAGGAGUAGCUUAUGUCAACUGAUAGCCACUCAAUCCCAAGCCCGAUUCUGAACAUACCACUCAUCAUCUUUACAUCAGCAUGAAGAUGAAUCUUACAUAUCCCCACUCUAUUAUAUACAGAUCUUCACGCUAUGUAGGUUGGAUUUUUCUCAUUUCCAUACCAUCUGGGUGUGAUUUUCUCCAUUCCAAUAUCACAAAUGCCAUCAAACUCUCUAGGAUCAAAGAAUUGAAGUUCAGAUCUUCAAUCUCUUCCUCGUCAGCCAUUAGAAGAAGAGAGAAAAUUAGAGUCUUCUUCUCCAUUAGAAAUGAUAAAAUUCUAGUCUUCUCUUGUUAGCAAAUUAAUCAAAAACUGUUUUUGCUAGAGACACCUAAGAAAAGAAGGGCUAGUUAAAUAAUUCUCUCUCCAAAACCCUACUUUGGAUUGAUCUUUCAGUAGUGAGGAAACCCUAUGGAUAACUUGGGCUUUUAGUAGAAAUAUUCUAUUGACAUAUUUUGAACAUGAAGAGCCCAAGAUUGAGCAAAAGACUUCUGGACAUCAAACAAGUAGAAUUAUAGGAAAAUAUAUGUCACUCAAGCAAUAACCUUUGAGACUUGGGUGGAUUUGUUUUAAUUCAACAAAGAAGAAACUGAGGGGAUGAGAAAGAACUACUUAAGAAAAAUGCAAAAUAGGACGGGUUUAAAACUCUAAGAAGCCUUGGGAUGUGAGGGAGAU
RNAcentral lists this long non-coding RNA (1357 nucleotides) under Amborella trichopoda. Its description in RNAcentral is "long non-coding RNA (ATRI_LNC004173)". The record is from RNAcentral. Lineage: Eukaryota; Viridiplantae; Streptophyta; Magnoliopsida; Amborellales; Amborellaceae.